Molecule: ribosomal RNA, 529 nt
Filed under: uncultured archaeon
Lineage: Archaea
Description: bacterial SSU rRNA
Rfam family: Archaeal small subunit ribosomal RNA
Source: RNAcentral
CUGGUGUCAGCCGCCGCGGUAAUACCAGCUCCUCGAGUGGUUGGGAUGAUUAUUGGGUCUAAAGCGUCCGUAGCCUGCCGGAAAAGUUCUCCGUUAAACCCAACGAUUCAAUCGUUGGACUGCGGGGAAUACUCUUCGGCUUGGGGGCGGGGGAAGUCGGCGGUAGUCCAAGGGUAGGGGUGAAAUCCUAUAAUCCUUGGAGGACCACCAGUGGCGAAGGCGGCCGACCAAAACGCGCCCGACGGUGAGGGACGAAAGCUGGGGGAGCGAACGGGAUUAGAUACCCCGGUAGUCCCAGCUGUAAACGAUGUGGACUAGGUGUUGGGAUGGGUAAGACCUAUCUCAGUGCCGCAGGGAAGCCGGUAAGUCCACCACCUGGGAAGUACGGCCGCAAGGUUGAAACUUAAAGGAAUUGGCGGGGGAGCACCACAAGGGGUGAAGCUUGCGGUUUAAUUGGAGUCAACCCCGGGAACCUUACCAGGAGCGACAGUUGGAUGAAGGUCAGAUUAAAGGUCUUACCGGACUAUCU